AUUGAACGCUGGCGGCAGGCUUAACACAUGCAAGUCGAGCGGGGGAAGGUAGCUUGCUACUGGACCUAGCGGCGGACGGGUGAGUAAUGCUUAGGAAUCUGCCUAUUAGUGGGGGACAACAUCUCGAAAGGGAUGCUAAUACCGCAUACGUCCUACGGGAGAAAGCAGGGGAUCUUCGGACCUUGCGCUAAUAGAUGAGCCUAAGUCGGAUUAGCUAGUUGGUGGGGUAAAGGCCUACCAAGGCGACGAUCUGUAGCGGGUCUGAGAGGAUGAUCCGCCACACUGGGACUGGAACACGGCCCAGACUCCUACGGGAGGCAGCAGUGGGGAAUAUUGGACAAUGGGGGGAACCCUGAUCCAGCCAUGCCGCGUGUGUGAAGAAGGCCUUAUGGUUGUAAAGCACUUUAAGCGAGGAGGAGGCUACUCUAGUUAAUACCUAGGGAUAGUGGACGUUACUCGCAGAAUGAGCACCGGCUAACUCUGUGCCAGCCGCCGCGGUAA
This 501-nucleotide ribosomal RNA is filed under the name uncultured bacterium. RNAcentral's name for it is "partial 16S ribosomal RNA". It matches the Rfam family "Bacterial small subunit ribosomal RNA", at positions 30 to 523 of the family's 1533-position model. The record is from RNAcentral.